RNAcentral lists this ribosomal RNA (305 nucleotides) under uncultured bacterium. Its description in RNAcentral is "bacterial SSU rRNA". It matches the Rfam family "Bacterial small subunit ribosomal RNA", at positions 335 to 656 of the family's 1533-position model. The record is from RNAcentral.
UGUGCCUACGGGACGCAGCAGUGGGGAAUAUUGGACAAUUGGGGAAACCCUGAUCCAGCGACGCCGCGUGAGUGAAGAAGUAUUUCGGUAUGUAAAGCUCUAUCAGCAGGGAAGAAAAUGACGGUACCUGACUAAGAAGCCCCGGCUAACUAAGUGCCAGCAGCCGCGGUAAUACGUAGGGGGCAAGCGUUAUCCGGAUUUACUGGGGGUAAAGGGAGCGUAGACGGCAUUGCAAGUCUGAUGUGAAAGAUUGGGGCUCAACCCCAGGCCUGCAUUGGAAACUGUAAAGCUGGAGAACAGGAGAG